GAUGAAGAACGUAGCGAAAUGCGAUACUUGGUGUGAAUUGCAGAAUCCCGUGAACCAUCGAAUCUUUGAACGCACAUUGCGCCCCCUGGUAUUCCGGGGGGCAUGCCUGUCCGAGCGUCAUUACAACCCUCAAGCUCAGCUUGGUGUUGGGCCCCGCCGCCCCGGCGGGCCCUAAAGUCAGUGGCGGUGCCGUCCGGCUCCGAGCGUAGUAAUUCUUCUCGCUCUGGAGGUCCGGUCGUGUGCUCGCCAGCAACCCCCAAUUUUUUUCAGGUUGACCUCGGAUCAGGUAGGGAUACCCGCUGAACUUAAGCAUAUCAAUAAGCGGAGGA
This 329-nucleotide unclassified non-coding RNA is filed under the name soil metagenome. Its description in RNAcentral is "partial contains 5.8S ribosomal RNA, internal transcribed spacer 2, and large subunit ribosomal RNA". The stretch from base 1 to 120 matches the Rfam family "5.8S ribosomal RNA", at positions 35 to 154 of the family's 154-position model. The record is from RNAcentral.